Molecule: ribosomal RNA, 434 nt
Filed under: uncultured Ruminococcus sp.
Lineage: Bacteria; Bacillati; Bacillota; Clostridia; Eubacteriales; Oscillospiraceae
Description: partial 16S ribosomal RNA
Rfam family: Bacterial small subunit ribosomal RNA
Source: RNAcentral
ACGGGAGGCAGCAGUGGGGAAUAUUGCACAAUGGGCGCACGCCUGACGCAGCGAUGCCGCGUGAGGGAAGAAGGUUUUCGGAUUGUAAACCUCUGUCAUCGGGGACGAUAAUGACUGUACUCGAGAAGGAAGCUCCGGCUAACUACGUGCCAGCAGCCGCGGUAAUACGUAGGGAGCGAGCGUUAUCCGGAAUUACUGGGUGUAAAGGGAGUGUAGGCGGGACUGUAAGUCAGAUGUGAAAUAUACCGGCUCAACUGGUAGACUGCAUUUGAAACUGCGGGUCUUGAGUGAAGUAGAGGUAAGCGGAAUGCCUAGUGUAGCGGUGAAAUGCGUAGAUAUUAGGAGGAACAUCAGUGGCGAAGGCGGCUUACUGGGCUUUAACUGACGCUGAGGCUCGAAAGCGUGGGGAGCAAACAGGAUUAGAUACCCUGGUA